GCUGUCAGCCUGCUCCCUGCAACUCUCACAUUGUCGUCCACUGAAGCUAAGCAGGGCUGCGCCUGGUCAGUACCUGAAUGGGAUGAAGACCUCAUGGGAAAGCUGGAUUGCUGCCGGAA
Molecule: ribosomal RNA, 119 nt
Filed under: Danio rerio (zebrafish)
Lineage: Eukaryota; Metazoa; Chordata; Actinopteri; Cypriniformes; Danionidae
Source: RNAcentral